ACACACCAUGGAAGUGGAUUGCACCAGAAAGUAGAUAGUCUAACCUUAGGGAGGGCGUUUACCCCGGUGUGCUUCAUGACUGGGGUGAAGUCGUAACAAGGUAGCCGUAGGGGAACCUGUGGCUGGAUCACCUCCUU
Molecule: ribosomal RNA, 137 nt
Filed under: uncultured bacterium
Lineage: Bacteria
Description: partial 16S ribosomal RNA
Rfam family: Bacterial small subunit ribosomal RNA
Source: RNAcentral